GACGAACGCUGGCGGCGUGCUUAACACAUGCAAGUCGAACGGAAAGGCCCCCUUGUGGGGUACUCGAGUGGCGAACGGGUGAGUAACACGUGAGUAACCUACCCUUGACUUUGGGAUAACUUCAGGAAACUGGGGCUAAUACCGGAUAGGAGCUCCUGCUGCAUGGUGGGGGUUGGAAAGUUUCGGCGGUUGGGGCUGGACUCGCGGCUUAUCAGCUUGUUGGUGGGGUAGUGGCUCACCAAGGCUUUGACUGGUAGCCGGCCUUGGAAGGUGACCGGCCACCAGGGUACUGCGAGAGGGCGCAGUGUGGUAUGGUAGGCAGCAGUCGGGAGUAUGACACAGUGGGAGGGAGCCUGUGGCAGCAGCGCUGGGUUCGUGAUGCCGUCUUGUGGGGUGUGAACCGCUGUCGCUUGUGACGAAGCGUGAGUGACGGUAACGAGAGAAGAAGCACCGGCUAACUACGUG
RNAcentral lists this ribosomal RNA (465 nucleotides) under uncultured bacterium. RNAcentral's name for it is "partial 16S ribosomal RNA". It matches the Rfam family "Bacterial small subunit ribosomal RNA", at positions 28 to 507 of the family's 1533-position model. The record is from RNAcentral.